RNAcentral lists this ribosomal RNA (254 nucleotides) under uncultured bacterium. RNAcentral's name for it is "partial 16S ribosomal RNA". It matches the Rfam family "Bacterial small subunit ribosomal RNA", at positions 524 to 776 of the family's 1533-position model. The record is from RNAcentral.
UACGUAGGGCGCGAGCGUUGUCCGGAUUUAUUGGGCGUAAAGAGCUCGUGGGUGGUUUGGUAAGUCGGAUGUGAAAUCUCCAGGCUCAACCUGGAGGGGUCAUUCGAUACUGCCAUGACUAGAGUUCGGUAGGGGAGUGUGGAAUUCCUGGUGGAGCGGUGAAAUGCGCAGAUAUCAGGAGGAACACCCGUAGCGAAGGCGGCACUCUGGGCCGAUACUGACACUGAGGAGCGAAAGCGUGGGGAGCGAACAGG